GACGAACGCUGGCGGCGUGCCUAACACAUGCAAGUCGAGCGGAGAUAUUAGCAAUAAUAUUUUAGCGGCGGACGGGUGAGUAACGCGUGGGCAACCUGCCUUUCACUGGGGGAUAACACAGAGAAAUUUGUGCUAAUACCGCAUAACAUCACGAGAUGACAUCUUCUUGUGAUCAAAGGAGUAAUCCGGUGAUUGAUGGGCCCGCGUCCGAUUAGCUAGUUGGUGGUGUAAUGGACCACCAAGGCGACGAUCGGUAGCCGAACUGAGAGGUUGAUCGGCCACAUUGGGACUGAGACACGGCCCAGACACCUACGGGUGGCAG
Molecule: ribosomal RNA, 322 nt
Filed under: uncultured Bacillota bacterium
Lineage: Bacteria; Bacillati; Bacillota
Description: bacterial SSU rRNA
Rfam family: Bacterial small subunit ribosomal RNA
Source: RNAcentral